RNAcentral lists this long non-coding RNA (549 nucleotides) under Homo sapiens (human). RNAcentral describes it as "non-protein coding lnc-BICDL2-3:1". The record is from RNAcentral. Lineage: Eukaryota; Metazoa; Chordata; Mammalia; Primates; Hominidae.
ACCAGCCUGGCCAAAACAUUGAAACACCAUUUCUACUAAAAAUACAAAAUUAGCUGGAUGUAGUGGUGCAUGCCUAUAGUACCCGCUACUCACCAGGCUGAGACAGGAGAAUCACUUGAACCCGGGAGCGGAGGCUGCUGUGAGCUGAGAUGGCACCACUGUACUCCAGCCUGGGCAAGAAGAGUAAAAUUCCAUCUCAAAAAAAAAAAAAAAGGUCAACAAGUUAUGCCUAUAAAAGAGUUUACUUGACCAGAAGCAGAGGCUCAUGCCUGUAAUCCCAGCACUUUGGGAGGCCGAAGCGGGAGGAUUGCUUGAAUCCAGAAGUUUGAGACCAGCCUGGGCAACAUGGUGAAACCCCACCCCUACAAAAAGUACAAAAAUUAGCUGGGCAUGGUGGCAUGUACCUGCAGUCCCAGCUACGGGGGAGGCUGUGGUGGGAGGAUCGCUUGAGCCUGGGAGGACGAGACUGCAGUGAUGGUGCCACUGCACUCCAGCCUGCGUGACAGAGCAAAAUCCCAUCUCUAAAAAAUAAAAAAGAGUUUACUUAGC